CCGCGCCCCAUUUGCCCCCAUCGCCUAAUCGAACUAUUGUGCCCUUGGACUGAAUAUCGUGAUCAGCCGAUGUCUUUGACCGCAUCAGCGACGGCGCACAGGUCGGCGGCUGUUGCAAUGGGUGCAACGUGUGCGGCCAUGUAUGCGCACAGGCGACCAAAGAUUCAGAUCGGGUUCUCGCUCAGGCCGAUCGUAGUGCACGCUCCACGAUCAGCGGGCAAAUUAGCCAAAGCACCGGGCGUAAGCACGACGCCGCCGAGGCGCUCGCAAAAGGCGGCGCACGCUGGCCAAGAACGGCACCGGCCAGGACCUCGAACGCCCCAUUGACAAAGAGGUCCCAGUCGGCGGCGACUGCCCAACGACUCGUUCCAGUACCGGAUCGGCGCCGCCCAGCCAUUCGUGGAUCUCGUACGCGCAGGCCAGUGCCGGGGACGCCACUGGCGUCCCCGGCGACGAGGCUGCGUGCAUGCGAGCACUAUCGAUAGCGACCACUGCCUCUGGCGCGGUGUUGUUUGCAGCAGCCCACGGAGGCGGGUCGUAGCCGUGGCAAAGGUCGGCCACCGCCGGCAAGAGGUCGUCCGCGUUGAAUGCCAUCUCUCUUUUCAAAAAAAAACAAGAGGUUUGCGAC
Molecule: long non-coding RNA, 628 nt
Filed under: Pandoravirus dulcis
Description: putative ncRNA
Source: RNAcentral